AAUAACACAAAACAAUCACUUCUCCUAAAUUCCUGUAAGUUCCUUACAGCACUCAAUUUAUUUCGUUUCCCAGGUUGUCCUUGACUUCUAUACCACCCAGGUACUGCUGGGAGCAUUGCAGGUCAGGAUUACACCAGCUCUCUGGGCUUUGUGUGGAAGAGCUUUUGGGUGCGGGGAUGUGCUUUGUGAAUACUCCCAGCAGCUACAAGGGACGCCUUCCAGGGAACCUGAGCUGUACUCCCUGUCCCUCAGAACGCUGUACUCUGUACACAGCAGCUCUCAUAAUGAUUGGCCGUUUGUGGUACUGACAAAAUCCCUGGUCCUGAAGCAAAAGAGAACACCAUGCAGUUGAAAUACGUGAG
RNAcentral lists this long non-coding RNA (362 nucleotides) under Felis catus (domestic cat). RNAcentral's name for it is "lncRNA (ENSFCAG00000050441.1)". Lineage: Eukaryota; Metazoa; Chordata; Mammalia; Carnivora; Felidae. The record is from RNAcentral.